RNAcentral lists this ribosomal RNA (564 nucleotides) under Weissella cibaria. Its description in RNAcentral is "bacterial SSU rRNA". It matches the Rfam family "Bacterial small subunit ribosomal RNA", at positions 64 to 610 of the family's 1533-position model. The record is from RNAcentral. Lineage: Bacteria; Bacillati; Bacillota; Bacilli; Lactobacillales; Lactobacillaceae.
GAGCUUGCUCAGAUAUGACGAUGGACAUUGCAAAGAGUGGCGAACGGGUGAGUAACACGUGGGAAACCUACCUCUUAGCAGGGGAUAACAUUUGGAAACAGAUGCUAAUACCGUAUAACAAUAGCAACCGCAUGGUUGCUACUUAAAAGAUGGUUCUGCUAUCACUAAGAGAUGGUCCCGCGGUGCAUUAGUUAGUUGGUGAGGUAAUGGCUCACCAAGACGAUGAUGCAUAGCCGAGUUGAGAGACUGAUCGGCCACAAUGGGACUGAGACACGGCCCAUACUCCUACGGGAGGCAGCAGUAGGGAAUCUUCCACAAUGGGCGAAAGCCUGAUGGAGCAACGCCGCGUGUGUGAUGAAGGGUUUCGGCUCGUAAAACACUGUUGUAAGAGAAGAAUGACAUUGAGAGUAACUGUUCAAUGUGUGACGGUAUCUUACCAGAAAGGAACGGCUAAAUACGUGCCAGCAGCCGCGGUAAUACGUAUGUUCCAAGCGUUAUCCGGAUUUAUUGGGCGUAAAGCGAGCGCAGACGGUUAUUUAAGUCUGAAGUGAAAGCCCUCAGCUC